ACAGGGUUUUUUUCAAAUAUCAGGAAAGUUAUCAAAAGGAAGUGGUGCUCGCUGAGAUGUAAGCGGCAUAAUGAAACCUAGGAGUUCUUUUAAUGGCAUGCCUAUUUUCAAGAUGUUUCUUGCUGUUCCUGUGAUCUUAGUUGAAUAACCUCACAAGCCCAGAACUCAUGGAAGGUGUUUUUUCCUGCCUGUGUUAGUGCCCCUGACAUUACCAAGAAUGUCCUGGAAGUGGUACAGACAGAAUAGUGCUGAGAAGCACAUAACAGAUCCAUGGGAAGAGUGUCAAGAUACAAAGGGAUGUGUUCUUCACUGGAGAGACCACGAGUGUUAACAGAAGUUGCAUAAGGCAGAGAGUCUGACUGAUUACAUCCACUGUUUCUUUCCUGCUUUAAGUUGUCAUGCAAGUAUUUUGUGACAGCGCUUCUGAAAGACAUAAGGAGGGACAAG
Molecule: long non-coding RNA, 447 nt
Organism: Cyanistes caeruleus (blue tit)
Lineage: Eukaryota; Metazoa; Chordata; Aves; Passeriformes; Paridae
Source: RefSeq, a predicted model, not a curated record